AGUGGGUUUGAAGUAAACAUGGGUCGUCGUCUCAUAUUUAACUUCGUUGAGGCGUUCAAUCUGUCGGUUUGUUCGAGACGUGAGUUUUCGUAAAAAACAAUUUAUUCUUACGAUCUGUCGGGAACGUUGAGAUAUGAACGGAGAGACAUGUUUUAGGAUCUCGUAUCGUUAGAUAUCAUGUCUUUGAGAUGUCUGAGACCAAUGCGAUGGGUUUAGGGCAAGACCUAGGUUUACUCUCGGUUUUAAGGUUUGUGCGGUGACUAGCCAGCUAUCGAUUUUCCUGUUGCGAUUUAUACCUGAUUCGUACCGAUUUAAAGUCCGCGAUAGGUUCUCUGC
This 336-nucleotide long non-coding RNA is filed under the name Brassica napus (rape). RNAcentral describes it as "long non-coding RNA (BNAP_LNC009655)". The record is from RNAcentral. Lineage: Eukaryota; Viridiplantae; Streptophyta; Magnoliopsida; Brassicales; Brassicaceae.